AUGCAGUCGACCGGCAGCACGGGGGCAACCCUGGUGGCGAGUGGCGAACGGGUGAGUAAUACAUCGGAACGUGCCCAGUCGUGGGGGAUAACUACGCGAAAGCGUAGCUAAUACCGCAUACGAUCUACGGAUGAAAGCGGGGGAUCGCAAGACCUCGCGCGAUUGGAGCGGCCGAUGGCAGAUUAGGUAGUUGGUGGGGUAAAGGCUCACCAAGCCUUCGAUCUGUAGCUGGUCUGAGAGGACGACCAGCCACACUGGGACUGAGACACGGCCCAGACUCCUACGGGAGGCAGCAGUGGGGAAUUUUGGACAAUGGGCGAAAGCCUGAUCCAGCCAUUCCGCGUGCAGGAUGAAGGCCCUCGGGUUGUAAACUGCUUUUGUACGGAACGAAACGGCGCUUUCUAAUACAGAGCGCUAAUGACGGUACCGUAAGAAUAAGCACCGGCUAACUAC
Molecule: ribosomal RNA, 453 nt
Filed under: Comamonadaceae bacterium IMV08
Lineage: Bacteria; Pseudomonadati; Pseudomonadota; Betaproteobacteria; Burkholderiales; Comamonadaceae
Description: bacterial SSU rRNA
Rfam family: Bacterial small subunit ribosomal RNA
Source: RNAcentral